RNAcentral lists this small nucleolar RNA (133 nucleotides) under Dasypus novemcinctus (nine-banded armadillo). RNAcentral's name for it is "Small nucleolar RNA SNORA38 (ENSDNOG00000042025.1)". It matches the Rfam family "Small nucleolar RNA SNORA38". From Rfam's summary of the family: ACA38 is a member of the H/ACA class of snoRNA that guide the sites of modification of uridines to pseudouridines. Lineage: Eukaryota; Metazoa; Chordata; Mammalia; Cingulata; Dasypodidae. The record is from RNAcentral.
UCCUCCUGCAAAGGCGUGUCCGUGGUUCCCUGUCCUUGGACAGGUAAGAACUGGAGGCAAAGCGAUGUGGGCUUGGAGAAGUCUGGAGCCAGCUUGCUCCCCAACAGGUUCAAGAUCACCCUUUCCCACACAG